RNAcentral lists this ribosomal RNA (322 nucleotides) under uncultured eukaryote. RNAcentral's name for it is "partial 18S ribosomal RNA". It matches the Rfam family "Eukaryotic small subunit ribosomal RNA", at positions 1470 to 1796 of the family's 1831-position model. The record is from RNAcentral.
CCCUUAGAUGUCCUGGGCCGCACGCGCGCUACACUGAGUAAUUCAAUGGGUAAGGGAACGCUAGAGCAUUACCUAAUCUUGAAAUUUGCUCGUGAUGGGGAUCGACGGUUGCAAUUUUCCGUCGUGAACGAGGAAUACCUUGUAGGCGCAUGUCAUCAUCAUGCGCCGAAUACGUCCCUGCCCUUUGUACACACCGCCCGUCGCUCCUACCGAUUGAGUGAUCCGGUGAGGCUCUGGGACCUGGACGGAAAGAGCGUUUCGCUUGUUCUGUUUGGGAAACUUGGUCGAACCUUAUCAUUUAGAGGAAGGAGAAGUCGUAACA